This 403-nucleotide ribosomal RNA is filed under the name uncultured bacterium. Its description in RNAcentral is "partial 16S ribosomal RNA". It matches the Rfam family "Bacterial small subunit ribosomal RNA", at positions 28 to 526 of the family's 1533-position model. The record is from RNAcentral.
GACGAACGCUGGCGGCGUGCCUAAUACAUGCAAGUCGAACGCAGUGGGGACGGGUGAGUAACACGUGGGUAACCUCCCAUCAGAGGGGAUAACAUUUGGAAACAGGUGCUAAACCGAUACUGAUGGAUGAACCCGCGGGGCAUUAGCUAGUUGGUGAGGUAACGGCUAACCAACGCCACGAUGCAUAGCGGGCCGGAGAGGAUGAUCGGCCACACUGGGACUGAGACACGGCCCAGACUCCUACGGGAGGCAGCAGUGGGGAAUAUUCGGCAAUGGGCGAAAGUCUGACCGAGCAACGCCGCGUGAAUGAAGAAGGUUUUCGGGUCGUAAAGCUCUGUUGUUAGAGAAGCGGUAUCUAACCAGGAAGCCACGGCUAACUACGUGCCAGCAGCCGCGGUAAUUC